RNAcentral lists this ribosomal RNA (435 nucleotides) under uncultured bacterium. RNAcentral describes it as "partial 16S ribosomal RNA". It matches the Rfam family "Bacterial small subunit ribosomal RNA", at positions 29 to 507 of the family's 1533-position model. The record is from RNAcentral.
AACGAACGCUGGCGGCAUGCCUAACACAUGCAAGUCGAACGAUUGCCUUCGGGUGAUAGUGGCGCACGGGUGCGUAACGCGUGGGAAUCUGCCCUUAGGUUCGGAAUAACAGCUGGAAACGGCUGCUAAUACCGGAUGAUAUCGCGAGAUCAAAGAUUUAUCGCCUGAGGAUGAGCCCGCGUUGGAUUAGGUAGUUGGUGGGGUAGAGGCCUACCAAGCCGACGAUCCAUAGCUGGUCUGAGAGGAUGAUCAGCCACACUGGGACUGAGACACGGCCCAGACUCCUACGGGAGGCAGCAGUGGGGAAUAUUGGACAAUGGGCGCAAGCCUGAUCCAGCAAUGCCGUGUGAGUGAUGAAGGCCCUAGGGUUGUAAAGCUCUUUUACCCGGGAAGAUAAUGACUGUACCGGGAGAAUAAGCCCCGGCUAACUCCGUG